GCCUAGCUGCUCAGUCAGCAGAGCGUGGGACUCAUGAUCUCAGGGUUGUGAGUUCAAGCCCCAUGUUAGGUG
Molecule: transfer RNA, 72 nt
Filed under: Ailuropoda melanoleuca (giant panda)
Lineage: Eukaryota; Metazoa; Chordata; Mammalia; Carnivora; Ursidae
Rfam family: tRNA
About the family: Transfer RNA (tRNA) molecules are approximately 80 nucleotides in length. Their secondary structure includes four short double-helical elements and three loops (D, anti-codon, and T loops).
Source: Rfam by way of RNAcentral